GUAUUUGUUUUUUUUAAUGGCACAAAAGGCCAAUUGCAACAUUCAUAUACAUUCAUAUGGUGUAUGUGAAAAACAUGGACCUGAACACAAGAAAAGCUGGGCUUGCACACAGCAACUCUCAAACUGAGUUUCCUCAAAACACUCAGAUCUAUGCAAGGUGCACAGGUGGUUCAAAAUGGAGUCAGUGUGCACAUGCUCCUAAAAGCCAGCAACAACCUAACCAAGUUUAUUCAAUAAUGAUCCUUCCGCAGGUUCACCUACGGAAA
Molecule: unclassified non-coding RNA, 266 nt
Filed under: uncultured fungus
Lineage: Eukaryota; Fungi
Description: sequence contains ITS1
Source: RNAcentral